RNAcentral lists this long non-coding RNA (590 nucleotides) under Carica papaya (papaya). RNAcentral's name for it is "long non-coding RNA (CPAP_LNC003221)". The record is from RNAcentral. Lineage: Eukaryota; Viridiplantae; Streptophyta; Magnoliopsida; Brassicales; Caricaceae.
GUUUGUAAAGUAUGUAAAUAAUUCAUUUUAACAUAAAACAAGUUUUAUAAAAAUAUGGGGGCCUCUGAAUGAGACUAACUCAAUCCCUUACCUAUAAUCGAGUCGGAAAAAGUGUCAAAAUCCUUAUUUACUUAUGCCUAUGCAAUCUUCUAAAUCUUCACUACCACUUGGUUAAUUUCCUCGUUCACAAAUAUAUAACACACGUAUUAAAUAAUGAGAGAUUUUUAUAGACGAACCCAACAAAGACUAGUUUUACCUUGGGCACGCAAUCGCGCUCACCGGAGUCACCACGUGCAAUCACUCGUGUGUCAAAUACAAUCGUGCGUAAGCACCAAAAAGAUGCGCUGUCACAUGCCUCCACAUGAUGUUAUCGGAAAGUAAACGUGCUACCGUUGAAAACUACCACGCACCACUGCUGGAAAUUAUCAUGCACCACUGCCGGAAACUAUCACGUGUCGCCGCCGGACCACCACAUGCCGUCACGAACUAAUCGAAACACGUUGCAGAAUGCACCGCAUGCUCGAAUAUGAUGUAGAUAAAGUGAAAUCGUGCCAAAAACUGGUACGGAUGCGCAAAAUCGCACUUUGAUU